This 435-nucleotide ribosomal RNA is filed under the name uncultured bacterium. Its description in RNAcentral is "bacterial SSU rRNA". It matches the Rfam family "Bacterial small subunit ribosomal RNA", at positions 43 to 524 of the family's 1533-position model. The record is from RNAcentral.
CAGGGCUAAAAUGCAAGUCGAACGGAUGGCUUCGCCCAUUAGUGGCGCACGGGUGCGUAACGCGUGGGAAUCUGCCCUUGGGUACGGAAUAACUCAGAGAAAUUUGAGCUAAUACCGUAUGAUGACGUAAGUCCAAAGAUUUAUCGCCCAGGGAUGAGCCCGCGUAGGAUUAGGUAGUUGGUGGGGUAAAGGCCUACCAAGCCGACGAUCCUUAGCUGGUCUGAGAGGAUGAUCAGCCACACUGGGACUGAGACACGGCCCAGACUCCUACGGGAGGCAGCAGUGGGGAAUAUUGGACAAUGGGCGAAAGCCUGAUCCAGCAAUGCCGCGUGAGUGAUGAAGGCCUUAGGGUUGUAAAGCUCUUUUACCCGGGAAGAUAAUGACUGUACCGGGAGAAUAAGCCCCGGCUAACUCCGUGCCAGCAGCCGCGGUAAU